GUAGGGGGCAAGCGUUAUCCGGAUUUACUGGGUGUAAAGGGAGCGUAGACGGCGAAGAAAGUCUGAAGUGAAAGCCCGCGGCUCAACCGCGGAAUGGCUUUGGAAACUUUUUUGCUGGAGUACCGGAGAGGUAAGCGGAAUUCCUAGUGUAGCGGUGAAAUGCGUAGAUAUUAGGAGGAACACCAGUGGCGAAGGCGGCUUACUGGACGGUAACUGACGUUGAGGCUCGAAAGCGUGGGGAGCAAAC
This 247-nucleotide ribosomal RNA is filed under the name uncultured bacterium. Its description in RNAcentral is "partial 16S ribosomal RNA". It matches the Rfam family "Bacterial small subunit ribosomal RNA", at positions 527 to 773 of the family's 1533-position model. The record is from RNAcentral.